UACGGAAGGCAGCAGUGGGGAAUAUUGCACAAUGGGCGCAAGCCUGAUGCAGCCAUGCCGCGUGUAUGAAAAAGGCCUUCGGGUUGUAAAGUACUUUCAGUCGUGAGGAAGGUGUUAAGGUUAAUAACCUUAGCAAUUGACGUUAGCGACAGAAGAAGCACCGGCUAACUCCGUGCCAGCAGCCGCGGUAAUACGGAGGGUGCGAGCGUUAAUCGGAAUUACUGGGCGUAAAGGGCACGCAGGCGGUUAAUUAAGUUGGAUGUGAAAUCCCCGGGCUUAACCUGGGAAUGGCAUUCAAGACUGGUUAGCUAGAGUCUUGUAGAGGGGGUAGAAUUCCGAUGUGUAGCGGUGAAAUGCGUAGAGAUGUGGAGGAAUACCGGUGGCGAAGGCGGCCCCUGGACAAAGACUGACGCUCAUGUGCGAAAGCGUGGGGAGCGAAACAGGGAUUAGAUACC
Molecule: ribosomal RNA, 455 nt
Filed under: uncultured bacterium
Lineage: Bacteria
Description: bacterial SSU rRNA
Rfam family: Bacterial small subunit ribosomal RNA
Source: RNAcentral